GACGAACGCUGGCGGCGUGCUUAACACAUGCAAGUCGAGCGGAGCGGCGAACGGGUGAGUAACGCGUGAGUAACUGCCCCCCUCUCUGGGAUAACAGUUGGAAACGGCUGCUUAUACCGGAUAGUGGGGGAUGACUCGCGUCCUAUCAGCUUGUUGGUGGGGUAGUGGCCUACCAAGGCGACGACGGGUAGCCGGACUGAGUGGGCGACCGGCCACAUUGGGCUGAGAUACGGCCCACAGUCCUACGGGGGGCAGCAGUGGGGAAUAGUGCACAAUGGGGGAAACACUGAUGCAGCAUGGCCGCGUGGGGGAUGAAGGCUUUCGGGUUGUAAACCUCUGUCGCUAUCGAAAGGGUAGGUGGAGAAGAAGCGCCGGCUAACUACGUGCCAGCAGCCGCGGUAAUUC
RNAcentral lists this ribosomal RNA (405 nucleotides) under uncultured bacterium. Its description in RNAcentral is "partial 16S ribosomal RNA". It matches the Rfam family "Bacterial small subunit ribosomal RNA", at positions 28 to 526 of the family's 1533-position model. The record is from RNAcentral.